GGGCGGCUAGCUCAGUUGGUUAGAGCGCAUGCUCGACACGCAUGAGGUCACAGGUUCAACUCCUGUGUCGCCCA
This 74-nucleotide transfer RNA is filed under the name Sediminispirochaeta smaragdinae DSM 11293. RNAcentral describes it as "tRNA-Val (GAC) (tRNA-Val-GAC-1-1)". It matches the Rfam family "tRNA". Rfam says of the family: Transfer RNA (tRNA) molecules are approximately 80 nucleotides in length. The record is from Rfam by way of RNAcentral. Lineage: Bacteria; Pseudomonadati; Spirochaetota; Spirochaetia; Spirochaetales; Spirochaetaceae.